AGGGGUGUAGUUCAAUGGCAGAACAGCGGUCUCCAAAACCGUCAAUGUGGGUUCGAUUCCUGCCACCCCUG
RNAcentral lists this transfer RNA (71 nucleotides) under Bacteroidaceae bacterium. RNAcentral describes it as "tRNA-Trp". It matches the Rfam family "tRNA". Rfam says of the family: Transfer RNA (tRNA) molecules are approximately 80 nucleotides in length. Their secondary structure includes four short double-helical elements and three loops (D, anti-codon, and T loops). The record is from RNAcentral. Lineage: Bacteria; Pseudomonadati; Bacteroidota; Bacteroidia; Bacteroidales; Bacteroidaceae.